RNAcentral lists this ribosomal RNA (497 nucleotides) under uncultured bacterium. RNAcentral's name for it is "partial 16S ribosomal RNA". It matches the Rfam family "Bacterial small subunit ribosomal RNA", at positions 28 to 507 of the family's 1533-position model. The record is from RNAcentral.
GAUGAACGCUGGCGGCGUGCCUAAUACAUGCAAGUCGAGCGAACGGACGAGAAGCUUGCUUCUCUGAUGUUAGCGGCGGACGGGUGAGUAACACGUGGAUAACCUACCUAUAAGACUGGGAUAACUUCGGGAAACCGGAGCUAAUACCGGAUAAUAUUUUGAACCGCAUGGUUCAAAAGUGAAAGACGGUCUUGCUGUUACUUAUAGAUGGAUCCGCGCUGCAUUAGCUAGUUGGUAAGGUAACGGCUUACCAAGGCAACGAUGAAUAGCCGACCUGAGAGGGUGAUCGGCCACACUGGAACUGAGACACGGUCCAGACUCCUACGGGAGGCAGCAGUAGGGAAUCUUCCGCAAUGGGCGAAAGCCUGACGGAGCAACGCCGCGUGAGUGAUGAAGGUCUUCGGAUCGUAAAACUCUGUUAUUAGGGAAGAACAUAUGUGUAAGUAACUGUGCACAUCUUGACGGUACCUAAUCAGAAAGCAACGGCUAACUACGUG